RNAcentral lists this ribosomal RNA (402 nucleotides) under uncultured prokaryote. RNAcentral's name for it is "bacterial SSU rRNA". It matches the Rfam family "Bacterial small subunit ribosomal RNA", at positions 355 to 774 of the family's 1533-position model. The record is from RNAcentral.
UAGGGAAUAUUAGAAAUGGACGAAAGUCUGAUCUAGCAACACCGCGUGUGCGAAGAAGGCCUUCGGGUUGUAAAGCACUUUUUGGAAGGAUUAGGAAGGAAUGUACUUCCAGAAUAAGUCUCGGCUAACUACGUGCCAGCAGCCGCGGUAACACGUAGGAGGCAAACGUUAUCCGGAUUUACUGGGCGUAAAGCGCGUGUAGGUGGUUUGGUAAGUAGAGCGUGAAAGCUCCUGGCUCAACUGGGAGAGGUCGUUCUAAACUGCCGGACUAGAGGAUGGUAGAGGGAGGUGGAAUUCCGGGUGUAGCGGUGGAAUGCGCAGAUAUCCGGAGGAACACCAGUGGCGAAAGCGGCCUCCUGGACCACUCCUGACACUCAGACGCGAAAGCUAGGGUAGCAAACG